UUGUUAAUUGCUGGCCUGUAUGAAUGGCUAAACGAGGGCUCCACUGUCUCAAUAAUAAACCUAGUGAAAUUGAAACGGUGGCGAAGCUGCCACCUAUGAAUUCUAAGACGAGAAGACCCCAUUGAGCUUUACUAUUAACUUGUAUUGCCAGAGCGCGAGCAAAUAAGCAAAAAGAUUAGAAGGGGAUCCGAAGGAUCCCCUUGCUUCAUAAUAAAAUUGUGUAGACUAAGUGGGAAAAAGAUAAAACAAGGGAUUUAAAAGAAUCCCGGGGCGCGGGAAGGGGGUGCCAAUGGCGUGGUUUUCCCCCCCCGCCCCGGGUCCCGAUUUAUAUGAAAAACCACUCUUUUUAUUAAGAUUACUGUCUACAACCGUACAAGUAAGAUAGUUUGGUUGGGGCGACCGCCUUCGAAAAAGUAUCGAAGGCGCACAUAAGAUUAGUCCGGAGGGGGGUCCGAAGGCCCUCCCGGGGGUAAUGCCCCAAAGAAAAGAUUAGUUUGACUGAGAGGGCUACAACCCGAACAGGCGCUAUUAAAAAGGGAUAAAAAGUCUUUUUGCGGGUCAUAGUGAUCCGUUGUUAUAUUGUGGGAUUGACAACGAUCAACGAAGAAAAGUUACCAUGGGGAUAAACAGCGUAA
Molecule: ribosomal RNA, 635 nt
Filed under: Placozoa sp. H11 HM-2017
Lineage: Eukaryota; Metazoa; Placozoa
Description: partial 16S ribosomal RNA
Rfam family: Bacterial large subunit ribosomal RNA
Source: RNAcentral